AUUGAACGCUGGCGGCAGGCUUAACACAUGCAAGUCGAGCGGUAGCACAGGGGAGCUUGCUCCCUGGGUGACGAGCGGCGGACGGGUGAGUAAUGUCUGGGAAACUGCCUGAUGGAGGGGGAUAACUACUGGAAACGGUAGCUAAUACCGCAUAACGUCGCAAGACCAAAGAGGGGGACCUUCGGGCCUCUUGCCAUCAGAUGUGCCCAGAUGGGAUUAGCUAGUAGGUGGGGUAAUGGCUCACCUAGGCGACGAUCCCUAGCUGGUAUGAGAGGAUGACCAGCCACACUGGAACUGGAACACGGUCAAGACUCCUACGGGAGGCAGCAGUGGGGAAUAUUGCACAAUGGGCGCAAGCCUGAUGCAGCCAUGCCGCGUGUGUGAAGACGGCCUUCGGGUUGUAAAGCACUUUCAGCGAGGAGGAAGGUGGUGAGCUUAAUACGUUCAUCAAUUGACGUUACUCGCAGAAGAAGCACCGGCUAACUCCGUG
Molecule: ribosomal RNA, 490 nt
Filed under: uncultured bacterium
Lineage: Bacteria
Description: partial 16S ribosomal RNA
Rfam family: Bacterial small subunit ribosomal RNA
Source: RNAcentral